UUCAUUGAUCUGUGUCUUUCAGUACUACCACUGACCGGCUUUCCACAUCUUGAAGUUGAAAAGCUCCACAAAGAUCCUAGACCCCUCUCUGGACUGACUUGAAAAGUCAGAAUACUGCAGGAAACUGAGGACUCUGAGCUGCACUUGGCAGCUCCAAAACAAUGGCAGAGCGGAUGGCGGACGCCAACCCCGCCAAGGUGAUCCAGAACCCAAAGGCUGAUGUUAAGAACUCGAGUGAAGUUUCAGCUGAGUCUGUAUUGGUGGCAGCAGUCAAAGUCAGACCUGCAGACCUGGGUCUAAUUCGAAGCUUGUCCAAGUCAGACUCUGACUUGUUGGCGUCACCACUCGAAGAGGAGGAUGGAAAUCUGACUGGCCGCAGUGGGUCCGUGUCUAACUGCAGCACUGGGCAGCCGUCCGUGGAGCGCAUGUCUUCCUUUGCCUCUGAGUGGGAUGAGAUUGAGAAGAUCAUGAACUUAAUUGGGGCAGGCAUUGAAACUUCCAAAAAUAAACAGCCCACACCAAGCUCAGAUGGGGCCUGUGGUAAAGCCCUGGACCAGCCGGUGGGAGAGUGGCUGGAGCACGUGGGGCUGCCGCAGUAUGAGAGCAGGUUCCUGCUCAAUGGCUUCGACGACCUACGAUUCAUGGGAAGUAACGUGAUGGAGGACCAGGAUCUCAGAGACAUUGGGAUCACUGACCCAGGACACAGAAAGAAAAUCCUCCAUGCGGCGCGCAGCUUGCCCAAGGUUAAAGCACUGGGCUGUGAUGGCAGCACAUCUCUUGCAUCCUGGCUGGAUGGCCUCGGCCUGCAUGAAUAUCUACCCAACUUUCUUUCUAGUGGCUACCGCACACUGGAGUGUGUUAAGAACCUGUGGGAGCUGGAGAUUGUCAAUGUUAUUAAGAUUGGUCCCCUGGGCCACAGGAAGAGAAUCAUUGCCUCUCUAGCAGAGAGACCCUAUGAAGAGGCUCCAUCCAAGUCUCGUCGUCUGUCCCCUAUUAUGUUCCAUGACCUCCUGUCCCAGACCACAUCUCCCCUCAGUCAGAUGGACCCCUACACCAGUCGCUCCAUGGACAUGCUCUUGCCUUUGACUGAGCCGGACAGGAGGCGGAGAGGAGUUGACCAAGACUGUAGUGUGUCCCUGCGUUCCUAUAGUGAGAGGCCGCGCUCUGUAGACAGACAGAGCGAACGACAUAAAGACUCUCGUUUAAACCUCCGGCCACCGAGCCAGUCUGCUACCUAUGCCACGGUGUCCGCCUGGCAUCACCAGCCUGAGAAACUCAUCCUGGACUCCUGCGGCUACGAGGCAACUUACCUAGGGUCAAUGAUAAUCAGGGAUCUACGAGGAAUUGAGUCCACACAAGAUGCCUGUGCUAAAAUUAGGAAAUCAAAAGAUUCAAGAAAGGGUCCAGUUGUCAUACUGUCCAUUACCUAUAGAGGAGUCAAGUUUAUUGAUGCAGCCACAAAGACUAUAGUUGCGGAGCAUGAGAUCAGGAACAUCUCGUGCGCCGCUCAGGACCCAGAUGAACUGUGCACUUUUGCUUAUAUUACCAAGGAUCUGAAGAGUGGCCACCACUUCUGCCAUGUCUUCAGCACUGUGGAAGUGACACAGACCUACGAGAUCAUCCUAACACUGGGACAGGCAUUUGAGGUGGCCUAUCAGAUGGCAAUUCAGUCCAGGGCAAGACACUAUGUCCCACCUACAUCUCUGGGCUCAGAGGUCAUAGAGACCAAAACCAGCCGACCUGUAUCUCAGUCGUGGAGCAGCGUGCGGAGAUCAGCAAUCGACCCCCUGGAGAUGGACGCAGACAUGCACUCCCUGGGCAGCACCACCUGGCUCUUGGACCAGCGGGACUCCAACAGGCGCCCUGUCAGCACCAAGUACGAGACCACCAUAUUCUGAGGCCGGAUCCCCACAGCCGCCCCUUUGCACCCUCUCGUACUUUCCUCCCCCUCCUGUAUCCAGUUCAUUAUUUAUUUAACACACACACACACACACACACACACACACACACACACACACACACACACACACACACACACACACACACACACACACACACACACACACACACACACACACAUACACACAUACACACAUACAUGCGAGCCCCGUGCCUUCUCACUGUGAUGGUAUAGCAUCCCUCAGGGCUGCCUACUCCUGCACCCUCCUUUGCCCUGCCCAGCGACCCACACCAACCUCUUUACCCGCCAUGAAAAAACACUCCCGCGGCUCUCCCGUGCCUCCCCAACACCCCUGGCAGCCUCCCUCGCCUGUUGCUGGUGCAGCCAAUGGCGGAGGCCUGGAACGGACGAUUUUGGAUUGAUGUCAUUAUACAGUGGCCAUGCUCUCUCAACCAAACUGCCUCUUCCUCCUCAUCCUCCUCUUCCUGACAGCUUGCAUCUGCCUCCAAAUCCCCGAUAGCUCCCAGAGCCUGUCCUGUCUUACCAGGCAUCUACCACUGUGAGGCACUAUGAGGAGGCUGCUUUGCUAGCAUGGGAUGCAAGACGGACAAUUAAUCAGCAACAUGCAGCAAACAACCAGUUUUUUUUCUAC
RNA transcript from Micropterus dolomieu (smallmouth bass), 2552 nucleotides. It is a transcript of the gene named ankyrin repeat and sterile alpha motif domain containing 1Ab, with no coding region annotated. Lineage: Eukaryota; Metazoa; Chordata; Actinopteri; Centrarchiformes; Centrarchidae. The transcript has 14 exons. The record is from RefSeq and is a predicted model, not a curated record.